GUAAAAGUAAGCUAAGCCAAGCUAUUGGGUCCAUACCCCAAACAUAGAGCGUAUGUCCUCUCUUUUCCA
RNAcentral lists this transfer RNA (69 nucleotides) under Archispirostreptus gigas (African giant black millipede). RNAcentral's name for it is "tRNA-Met". Lineage: Eukaryota; Metazoa; Arthropoda; Diplopoda; Spirostreptida; Spirostreptidae. The record is from RNAcentral.